CACGUAGGGGGCGAGCGUUGUCCGGAAUCAUUGGGCGUAAAGAGCUCGUAGGCGGCUCAGUAAGUCGGGUGUGAAACCCCCAGGCUCAACCUGGGGACGCGACCCGAUACUGCUGUGGCUAGAGUCCAGUAGGGGAGUGUGGAAUUCCCGGUGUAGCGGUGAAAUGCGCAGAUAUCGGGAGGAACACCAGCGGCGAAGGCGGCACUCUGGGCUGGAACUGACGCUGAGGAGCGAAAGCGUGGGUAGCAAACAGG
RNAcentral lists this ribosomal RNA (254 nucleotides) under uncultured bacterium. RNAcentral describes it as "partial 16S ribosomal RNA". It matches the Rfam family "Bacterial small subunit ribosomal RNA", at positions 524 to 776 of the family's 1533-position model. The record is from RNAcentral.